GCCCAAGUGGCGGAAUGGUAGACGCAGGGGAUUCAAAAUCCCCCGAUAGCGAUAUCGUGUGGGUUCGAGUCCCACCUUGGGCA
Molecule: transfer RNA, 83 nt
Filed under: Allosediminivita pacifica
Lineage: Bacteria; Pseudomonadati; Pseudomonadota; Alphaproteobacteria; Rhodobacterales; Paracoccaceae
Rfam family: tRNA
About the family: Transfer RNA (tRNA) molecules are approximately 80 nucleotides in length. Their secondary structure includes four short double-helical elements and three loops (D, anti-codon, and T loops). Further hydrogen bonds mediate the characteristic L-shaped molecular structure. tRNAs have two regions of fundamental functional importance: the anti-codon, which is responsible for specific mRNA codon recognition, and the 3' end, to which the tRNAs corresponding amino acid is attached (by aminoacyl-tRNA synthetases). tRNAs cope with the degeneracy of the genetic code in two manners: having more than one tRNA (with a specific anti-codon) for a particular amino acid; and 'wobble' base-pairing, i.e. permitting non-standard base-pairing at the 3rd anti-codon position.
Source: Rfam by way of RNAcentral